CUGCUGUGAAGGGUAGACUUGGUCAUGUGGGUUUGCAACAUUGUUACUUCUGUAAGACAGAUUGGGAUGGUUCUGCUUGAAGUUGUUGAAACCUUUUUUGUAACCUCCUUGGUUUUGCACAUAACUGAGUUCUUCUGACUAUAGAGUCUCCCCAUCCUGAACUUGGAACGUCUCAUCAUCCCCCAGAAAAUGAACGUGUUUCUGUUGCACUAGGAGUAACUUGUCCAGCUUGUCAUUCAUAGCUUUCAUAUCCCUGUAGUGUUUCUCAUCAGAAUCAGAGUUGGUGCAGAUGCUUCUAUCGUAAUCUUCAUUGUAGUUACCAUCCGACUGUGCCAAAUUCUCUACCAGCUCCCAUCCUUCUUCAACGUCCUUGUUGA
RNAcentral lists this small RNA (377 nucleotides) under Arabidopsis thaliana (thale cress). RNAcentral describes it as "ATSL034320". The record is from RNAcentral. Lineage: Eukaryota; Viridiplantae; Streptophyta; Magnoliopsida; Brassicales; Brassicaceae.